This 428-nucleotide unclassified non-coding RNA is filed under the name Hevea brasiliensis (rubber tree). The record is from RNAcentral. Lineage: Eukaryota; Viridiplantae; Streptophyta; Magnoliopsida; Malpighiales; Euphorbiaceae.
GGUACAUUUCCACAGGUGACCACCUACAAAAACCCAACAGAGCAUUUGAUACGUAUAUUUAACCAGACAAAUGCACUAACAAAUAGCCAAAAUAUAAAUAACCAACAACAAGCGCUUCCAAUGUGUUGGAAAUAUAACUCUUAAAGAAGUCGGAUCCCCACUUUAAUGCUUGAAGCCUUGAACAUAAGGCCCUUCUGCACAACUUCUACAAUAGAUAUUAAUCCUCAUUCAUGCAGUACUAUGAGACACUUCAGCAAAUAUAGAACCACAGCACAAUUUUUAAAACUUCAUAAGGAAUUCAGAUAAUGCUUUAAUGCAACUUGGUGCAUCCCAUAAGUAGCUUACAAAACUAUAUUCAUAGUAUGGUGUGUAACACACACUUAAGCACUUAAUUACAUAUAACAAACAUAAUCAGGAGAAAAUAUUAA